This 1813-nucleotide ribosomal RNA is filed under the name Lingulaulax polyedra. RNAcentral's name for it is "Lingulodinium polyedra partial Bacterial large subunit ribosomal RNA". It matches the Rfam family "Bacterial large subunit ribosomal RNA", at positions 15 to 1977 of the family's 2925-position model. Lineage: Eukaryota; Dinophyceae; Gonyaulacales; Lingulodiniaceae. The record is from RNAcentral.
GCGCAUACGGUGGAUGCCUUGGCAAUUGGAGGCGAUGAAGGACGUUGGAGCCUGCGAAAAGCUCUGGGGAGGUGGCAACCAACCUUUGAUCCAGAGAUGUCCGAAUGGGGAAACCCACCUAGCAUAAGCUAGGUAUCUCUUGACUGAAUACAUAGGUCUUGAGAGGCGAACCAGGGGAACUGAAACAUCUAAGUACCCUGAGGAAAAGAAAUCAACCGAGAUUCUCUUAGUAGCGGCGAGCGAACGGGGAUCAGCCUGCAAGUGAUAGCUUGUGUGUUAGUGGAACGGUCUGGAAAGUCCGGCGAUACAGGGUGAUAGCCCCGUACACGAAAACGCACUUGUGGUACUAAGCUUGCGAUAAGUAGGUCGGGACACGUGUUAUCUUGACUGAAGAUAGGGGGACCAUCCUCUAAGGCUAAAUACUACCAAUUGACCGAUAGUGAACCAGUACCGUGAGGGAAAGGCGAAAAGAACCCCGGAGAGGGGAGUGAAAUAGAUCCUGAAACCGUAUGCGUACAAGCAGUAGGAGCAGACUUGUUCUGUGACUGCGUACCUUUUGUAUAAUGGGUCAGCGACUUAAUGUCAGUAGCGAGCUUAACCGUUUAGGGGAGGCGUAGGGAAACCGAGUCUUAAUAGGGCGAAUUAGUUGCUGGCAUUAGACCCGAAACCCGGUGAUCUAUCCAUGGCCAGGUUGAAGAUGCCGUAACAGGCAUUGGAGGACCGAACCCACAAAUGUUGAAAAAUUUGGGGAUGAGCUGUGGAUCGGAGUGAAAGGCUAAUCAAACCGGGAGAUAGCUGGUUCUCCUCGAAAUCUAUUUAGGUAGAGCGUCGAUCGAAUACUCUUGGGGGUAGAGCACUGACUGGGCUAGGGGUCCUCACCGGAUUACCAAACCUUAUCAAACUCCGAAUACCAAGAAGUACUAAUCGGCAGACACACGGCGGGUGCUAACGUCCGUCGUGGAGAGGGAAACAACCCUGACCACCAAUUAAGGUCCCCAAAUAAUGGCUAAGUGUGAAAGGAUGUGGGAUUGCUUUGACAAUGAGGAGGUUGGCUUAGAAGCAGCCAUCCUUUAAAGAAAGCGUAACAGCUCACUGGUCUAAAUAAGGGUUCCUGCGGCGAAGAUGUAACGGGGCUAAAGAUAUGCACCGAAGCUUAGGGUUGCAGUUUACUGCAGCGGUAGCGGAGCGUUCCGUAAGUGGCUGAAGCCGAAGGGUAACCGACGGUGGACAUAUCGGAAGUGCGAAUGCUGACAUGAGUAGCGACAAAGAGUGUGAGAAACACUCUCGCCGAAAGCCCAAGGGUUCCUGCGCAAGGCUAAUCCGCGCAGGGUAAGUCGGCCCCUAAGACGAGGGCGAAAGCCGUAGUCGAUGGGAAUCAGGUUAAUAUUCCUGAACCUGGUGGUAGUGACGACCGUGAAGUGUUGUAUCCCCUUACUGGAUUGGGGGUGCUGCUGGAUCGGUCCGGGAAAUAGCUCCACCGUUAAGACCGUACCCCAAACCGACACAGGUGGGCAGGUAGAAGAUACCAAGGCGCUUGAGGGAACUAUGUUGAAGGAACUCGGCAAAAUGCCUCCGUAACUUCGGGAUAAGGAGGACCUCCUUCCGGGCAACCGGUGGGGGGUGGCACAAAAUAGGGGGUAGCGACUGUUUACUAAAAACACAGGGCUCUGCGAAGUCGCAAGACGACGUAUAGGGUCUGACGCCUGCCCGGUGCCUGAAGGUUAAAAGGAGGGGUGAGAGCUCCGAAUUGAAGCCCAGGUAAACGGCGGCCGUAACUAUAACGGUCCUAAGGUAGCGAAAUUCCUUGUCGGGU